CCGAAAUGUUUGAGACGGCGAUUAAGGAGAGCACCUCCUCUAAGAGCCCUCCCAGAAAAAUAAAUUCAUCACCCAAUGUUAAUACUACUGCAUCAGGUGUUGAAGACCUUAACAUCAUUCAGGUGACAAUUCCAGAUGAUGAUAAUGAAAGACUCUCGAAAGUUGAAAAAGCUAGACAGCUAAGAGAACAAGUGAAUGACCUCUUUAGUCGGAAAUUUGGUAAGUUUUGCAUUUGCAAAGUACAGUUGCUAUAAGCAAAGAGAUUUGUUUUAAUAAGAUCUUUUCAGCAGAUGAUGGUUAGAUGGUUGUAAUCCUA
RNAcentral lists this long non-coding RNA (316 nucleotides) under Gorilla gorilla gorilla (western lowland gorilla). Its description in RNAcentral is "lncRNA (ENSGGOG00000044307.1)". Lineage: Eukaryota; Metazoa; Chordata; Mammalia; Primates; Hominidae. The record is from RNAcentral.